RNAcentral lists this ribosomal RNA (492 nucleotides) under uncultured bacterium. Its description in RNAcentral is "partial 16S ribosomal RNA". It matches the Rfam family "Bacterial small subunit ribosomal RNA", at positions 29 to 507 of the family's 1533-position model. The record is from RNAcentral.
AGUGAACGCUGGCGGUAGGCCUAACACAUGCAAGUCGAACGGCAGCACAGUAAGAGUUUGCUCUUACGGGUUGCGAGUGGCGGACGGGUGGGGAAUACAUCGGAAUCUACUUUUUCGUGGGGGUUAACGUAGGGAAACUUACUCUAAUACCGCAUAACACCCUGGAGUGUGAGUAUGGGAUCUUCGGACCUGGCGCGAGUGAAUGACCCGAUGUCGGAUGAGUUAGUUGGCGGGGUAAAUGCCCACCGAGGCGACGAUCCGUAGCUCGACUGAGAGAAUGAUCAGCCACACGGGAACUGGGACGCCGACCCGACGCCUGCGAGAGGCAGCAGUGGGAAAUAUUGGGCAAUAGGGGCAAACCUGAUACAACCAUACCACGUGGGAGGAGAAAACCUUGGGGUUGUAAAGCCCUUUUUUUGGGAGAGAAAAGCAGCAGGUUAAUACCACGCUGUUGUGACGGUACCCAAAAAAUAAGCACCGGCUAACUACGUG